This 449-nucleotide ribosomal RNA is filed under the name uncultured bacterium. RNAcentral describes it as "partial 16S ribosomal RNA". It matches the Rfam family "Bacterial small subunit ribosomal RNA", at positions 29 to 523 of the family's 1533-position model. The record is from RNAcentral.
AACGAACGCUGGCGGCAGGCUUAACACAUGCAAGUCGAACGCACCUUUCGGGGUGAGUGGCAGACGGGUGAGUAACGCGUGGGAAUCUACCCUUCUCUACGGGAUAGCUCCGGGAAACUGGAAUUAAUACCGUAUACGUCCUGAGGGAGAAAGAUUUAUCGGGGAAGGAUGAGCCCGCGUUGGAUUAGCUAGUUGGUGGGGUAAAGGCCUACCAAGGCGACGAUCCAUAGCUGGUCUAAGAGGAUGAUCAGCCACAUUGGGACUGAGACACGGCCCAAACUCCUACGGGAGGCAGCAGUGGGGAAUAUUGGACAAUGGGCGCAAGCCUGAUCCAGCCAUGCCGCGUGAGUGAUGAAGGCCCUAGGGUUGUAAAGCUCUUUCAGUGGGGACGAUAAUGACGGUACCCACAGAAGAAGCCCCGGCUAACUUCGUGCCAGCAGCCGCGGUAA